UGGCAAGCCACUGGCCGAACAAAUGUCU
Molecule: non-coding RNA, 28 nt
Filed under: Mus musculus (house mouse)
Lineage: Eukaryota; Metazoa; Chordata; Mammalia; Rodentia; Muridae
Source: RNAcentral